This 193-nucleotide unclassified non-coding RNA is filed under the name uncultured Pachyphloeus. RNAcentral's name for it is "sequence contains ITS2". Lineage: Eukaryota; Fungi; Ascomycota; Pezizomycetes; Pezizales; Pezizaceae. The record is from RNAcentral.
UCCUUCUAAUAAUCAAACUUUUAUAUAUCUAUCUAUGUAAAGAUGUUUGGACUUUAAUUGAGAAAAGUAGUAUAGUUAUAAUAUUACUUUCUUAAAAACCAGAAAUAUUUUGUUUUGGUUUUCUUCCAACUCAUUUUGUAUUUAAUAAAACAAAUGAGUAUGAAUUCAACAAGCAAACAAUAAAAUACUUUUU